GACGAACGCUGGCGGCGUGCUUAACACAUGCAAGUCGAACGAUGAAGCUGGAGCUUGCUCCGGUGGAUUAGUGGCGAACGGGUGAGUAACACGUGAGUAACCUGCCCUUGACUCUGGGAUAACUGCGGGAAACUGUAGCUAAUACCGGAUACGACCCUCGGCGGCAUCGCCAGGGGGUGGAAAGAAUUUCGGUCAAGGAUGGACUCGCGGCCUAUCAGCUAGUUGGUGAGGUAACGGCUCACCAAGGCGACGACGGGUAGCCGGCCUGAGAGGGUGACCGGCCACACUGGGAUUGAGACACGGCCCAGACUCCUACGGGAGGCAGCAGUGGGGAAUAUUGCACAAUGGGCGCAAGCCUGAUGCAGCAACGCCGCGUGAGGGAUGACGGCCUUCGGGUUGUAAACCUCUUUUAGUAGGGAAGAAGCGAAAGUGACGGUACCUGCAGAAAAAGCACCGGCUAACUACGUGCCAGCCGCCGCGGUAA
Molecule: ribosomal RNA, 484 nt
Filed under: uncultured bacterium
Lineage: Bacteria
Description: partial 16S ribosomal RNA
Rfam family: Bacterial small subunit ribosomal RNA
Source: RNAcentral